UACGUAGGUGGCAAGCGUUGUCCGGAAUUAUUGGGCGUAAAGCGCGCGCAGGCGGUCCUUUAAGUCUGAUGUGAAAGCCCACGGCUCAACCGUGGAGGGUCAUUGGAAACUGGGGGACUUGAGUGCAGAAGAGGAAAGCGGAAUUCCACGUGUAGCGGUGAGAUGCGUAGAGAUGUGGAGGAACACCAGUGGCGAAGGCGGCUUUCUGGUCUGUAACUGACGCUGAGGCGCGAAAGCGUGGGGAGCAAACAGG
This 253-nucleotide ribosomal RNA is filed under the name uncultured bacterium. RNAcentral's name for it is "partial 16S ribosomal RNA". It matches the Rfam family "Bacterial small subunit ribosomal RNA", at positions 524 to 776 of the family's 1533-position model. The record is from RNAcentral.